RNAcentral lists this unclassified non-coding RNA (19 nucleotides) under Mus musculus (house mouse). Its description in RNAcentral is "oocyte_clustered_small_RNA6355". The record is from RNAcentral. Lineage: Eukaryota; Metazoa; Chordata; Mammalia; Rodentia; Muridae.
AUGCACUUCACCCACAUCU